RNAcentral lists this ribosomal RNA (107 nucleotides) under Bifidobacterium longum subsp. longum. The record is from RNAcentral. Lineage: Bacteria; Bacillati; Actinomycetota; Actinomycetes; Bifidobacteriales; Bifidobacteriaceae. RNAcentral also lists the same sequence under 2 other names.
AUGGCCCAGGUGAGACGCCCGGUCCCAUUCCGAACCCGGAAGCUAAGGCCUGGCACGGCGAUGGUACUGCACCCGACAGGGUGUGGGAGAGUAGCACGCCGCCGCAU